This 253-nucleotide ribosomal RNA is filed under the name uncultured bacterium. RNAcentral describes it as "partial 16S ribosomal RNA". It matches the Rfam family "Bacterial small subunit ribosomal RNA", at positions 524 to 776 of the family's 1533-position model. The record is from RNAcentral.
UACGUACCGUACAAACGUUAUUCGGAAUUACUGGGCUUAAAGGGUUUGUAGGCGGCUUUGUAAGUGGGGUGUGAAAUCCCUCGGCUCAACCGAGGAACGGCGCUCCAAACUGCAAGGCUUGAGGGAGACAGAGGUAAGCGGAACUGAUGGUGGAGCGGUGAAAUGCGUUGAUAUCAUCAGGAACACCGGUGGCGAAAGCGGCUUACUGGGUCUCUUCUGACGCUGAGGAACGAAAGCGUGGGGAGCAAACCGG